This 294-nucleotide ribosomal RNA is filed under the name uncultured bacterium. RNAcentral's name for it is "partial 16S ribosomal RNA". It matches the Rfam family "Bacterial small subunit ribosomal RNA", at positions 775 to 1067 of the family's 1533-position model. The record is from RNAcentral.
GGAUUAGAUACCCUGGUAGUCCACGCCGUAAACGUUGUGUGCUAGGUGUCGCGGGUAUUGACCCCUGCGGUGCCGUCGUUAACGCAUUUAGCACACCGCCUGGGGAGUACGGUCGCAAGGCUAAAACUCAAAGGAAUUGACGGGGGCCCGCACAAGCGGUGGAGCAUGUGGUUUAAUUCGAUGCAACGCGAAGAACCUUACCAGGCCUUGACAUCCUUGGAAUUCUGCAGAGAUGCCGAAGUGCCUUCGGGAAUCAAGUGACAGGUGCUGCAUGGCUGUCGUCAGCUCGUGCUG